This 1699-nucleotide long non-coding RNA is filed under the name Salmo salar (Atlantic salmon). RNAcentral's name for it is "lncRNA (ENSSSAG00000096093.1)". The record is from RNAcentral. Lineage: Eukaryota; Metazoa; Chordata; Actinopteri; Salmoniformes; Salmonidae.
UUGUUGUUAAAGAGGACGUUGGAAAUGUCUUUAUAAUGACAUCAUAAUGGAGCCAUGACAUAAAGUGGAAUAAGGAAGUCACUUAUUCCUCCUGUACAGUAGUAGGAAGAAGAAGAAAACAACCUCUCAGCUCAUUGCUAUGCAAUUAAAAUGUAAUUACCAAAAUAUUAUGUAACAAUAUGCUGCUCCAAAAAAAGUAAUUGUAUAACACAGGCACCAGAACAGUUUAAUGUGUUAUUAAGUGUUAUCGAGAACGCGGACAGUAAGAAAACUAAAUAUCCCUAAAAACUAUCGUCUUUAAAUCAACUACAGCCGAGGUAGUUUACCUGUUAGUUUGUGUUCCUAGUAAACUGUCCCUUUUAAAGGGAAACUUCAGGAUUUUGGCAACGAGGUCCUUUAUCUACUUCCCCAGAAUCAGAUGAACUUGUGGAAACAAUUUUUAUGUCUCUGCGUGCAGUUUGAAGGAGGUUGCUAACUAGCGUUAGCGCAAUGACUAGAAGUCUAUGGGAACCUGCUAAUACCCAUACACUUCCAGUCAUUGUGCUAAUGCUAGUUAGCAUUGUCUCACUAAACUACCCCCCAACUUCCUUCCAUACUGAACACAGAGACAUUAAAGAUGGAAUCCAUGAGUUCAUCUGACUCUGGGUCAGUAGAUACAAUCCUGAAGUAUUCCUUUAAAGAUGGAAUCUACGAGUUCAUCUGACUCUGGGUCAGUAGAUAAACUCCUGAAAUAUUCCUUUAAAGAUGGUAUAGUGUGUUUUGAAAUAAGAACACUUAACCCUCAGAUGGACAAAGAGGUUCCACGUUGGUUUUACUAAGCAUCCAACUUGAUGUUUAUAAUGUUUACAAAAUGGCUUUGAAUUGCUCUGCAGUAUUUUCAGGUAUCAUUAUAAAAGUGCAGCUUUCGACCCUUUUCAGGGGCAUGUUGAAAGAGUCAGACUAUAGCCGAGUCAUAACCUAUUCAUACUUAUCUGUAAAAAAUAUAUAAUUGGUUUGACUUGAUUAUCUACACAUGGGGCAAUGGGCAGUCAGGAAAAUGGACAUUGAACAAAAUGUUCAGAUAUAAAUGUAUUGUGUAGAUCAAAUAUGACUGUCAGAGAUUGAAAGCAGCCAAUCCAAUAGUUUCAGAAAAUAAGUCACUUCCUGAAAUCUGUAUUUAAAUAUUUUAAAAAAGUAGUCACUUCCUGAAAUCUGUAUUCAAAUAGUUUUAAGAAGUAGUCACUUCCCUGAAAUCUGUAUUCAAAUAGUUUUAAGAAGUAGUCACUUCCCGAAAUCUGUAUUCAAAUAGUUUUAAGAAGUAGUCACUUCCUGAAAUCUGUAUUCAAAUAGUUUUAAGAAGUAGUCACUUCCUGAAAUCUGUAUUCAAAUAGUUUUAAGAAGUAGUCACUUCCUGAAAUCUGUAUUCAAAUAGUUAAAAAAAAAAAAAUCGCCGCCAAAGUAGCUAUUUGUUUCCCCAAUAAUUCCAAAGCAGUUCAAGGGAAUGGGCUGCCAUUUGGGACAACCAGAGUGGAGUGGAUGGAGCACAGUCAAACCCAGCCCUAAGAGAUUGGACAGGCCGGCACUAAUGGCGAGUGUUCAUUGGUUUGCCUACAAAAACUAAACUGCUGUGAAAUUAACUGUGAUGUAACUACAUUGAAAACGAGCAGAUAAUUUUAAUUUUAAUUACAAAACGGACCCAGAUUUAAUCUGAAUAAAAGAC